This 477-nucleotide ribosomal RNA is filed under the name uncultured anaerobic ammonium-oxidizing bacterium. RNAcentral's name for it is "bacterial SSU rRNA". It matches the Rfam family "Bacterial small subunit ribosomal RNA", at positions 365 to 832 of the family's 1533-position model. The record is from RNAcentral.
UUCGCAAUGCCCGAAAGGGUGACGAAGCGACGCCGCGUGCGGGAAGAAGGCCUUCGGGUUGUAAACCGCUGUCGGGAGUUAAGAAAUGCAAGGGUGUUAACAGCAUCCUUGCUUGACCAAGGCUCCGGAGGAAGCCACGGCUAACUCUGUGCCAGCAGCCGCGGUAAUACAGAGGUGGCAAGCGUUGUUCGGUAUUAUUGGGCGUAAAGAGCACGUAGGUGGUUUUGUAAGUCAGAUGUGAAAGCCUUCUGUUCAAAGGAAGAACGGCAUCUGAAACUGCAGAUCUUGAGUGUAGGAGUGGAGAGUGGAACUUCUGGUGGAGCGGUGAAAUGCGUAGAUAUCAGAAGGAACGUCGGCGGCGAAAGCGACUCUCUGGCCUAUUACUGACACUGAGUGUGCGAAAGUUAGGGGAGCAAACGGGAUUAGAUACCCCGGUAGUCCUAACUGUAAACGAUGGGCACUAAGUAGAGGGGUUUU